This 132-nucleotide ribosomal RNA is filed under the name Ganoderma sp. GanO-08. Its description in RNAcentral is "partial 5.8S ribosomal RNA". It matches the Rfam family "5.8S ribosomal RNA", at positions 31 to 154 of the family's 154-position model. From Rfam's summary of the family: 5.8S ribosomal RNA (5.8S rRNA) is a component of the large subunit of the eukaryotic ribosome. It is transcribed by RNA polymerase I as part of the 45S precursor that also contains 18S and 28S rRNA. Functionally, it is thought that 5.8S rRNA may be involved in ribosome translocation. Lineage: Eukaryota; Fungi; Basidiomycota; Agaricomycetes; Polyporales; Polyporaceae. The record is from RNAcentral.
UUUCGAUGAAGAACGCAGCGAAAUGCGAUAAGUAAUGUGAAUUGCAGAGUUCAGUGAAUCAUCGAAUCUUUGAACGUCAGCCGUUGGCGCUACCUUGGUAUUCCGAGGAGCAUGCCUGUUUGAGCGUCAUGA